This 389-nucleotide ribosomal RNA is filed under the name Epomops franqueti (Franquet's epauletted bat). RNAcentral describes it as "partial small subunit ribosomal RNA". It matches the Rfam family "Bacterial small subunit ribosomal RNA", at positions 794 to 1384 of the family's 1533-position model. The record is from RNAcentral. Lineage: Eukaryota; Metazoa; Chordata; Mammalia; Chiroptera; Pteropodidae.
GCUCAGCCCUAAACCUUAGUAGUUAUUACAACAAUACUACUCGCCAGAGUACUACUAGCAACAGCCUAAAACUCAAAGGACUUGGCGGUGCUUUAUAUCCCUCUAGAGGAGCCUGUUCUGUAAUCGAUAAACCCCGAUAAACCUCACCAGUCCUUGCUAAUACAGCCUAUAUACCGCCAUCUUCAGCAAACCCUAAAAAGGAGCCACAGUAAGCCAAACCAUAUAACAUAAAAACGUUAGGUCAAGGUGUAGCCAAUGGGCCGGGAAGAAAUGGGCUACAUUUUCUAACAUAGAACAUAACGAAACUUUUCGUGAAACCGAAAACGGAAGGAGGAUUUAGUAGUAAAUUAAGAAUAGAGAGCUUAAUUGAAUAAGGCCAUGAAGCACGC